RNAcentral lists this ribosomal RNA (365 nucleotides) under uncultured bacterium. Its description in RNAcentral is "partial 16S ribosomal RNA". It matches the Rfam family "Bacterial small subunit ribosomal RNA", at positions 338 to 700 of the family's 1533-position model. The record is from RNAcentral.
CCUACGGGAGGCAGCAGGGAGGAAUAUUGGUCAAUGGGCGGAAGCCUGAACCAGCCAAGUAGCGUGCAGGAUGACGGCCCUACGGGUUGUAAACUGCGUUUAUACGGGAAUAACGCGCCGUACGUGGAGGGCUUUGCAUGUACCGUAUGAAUAAGGACCGGCUAAUUCCGUGCCAGCAGCCGCGGUAAUACGGAAGGUCCGGGCGUUAUCCGGAUUUAUUGGGUUUAAAGGGAGCGUAGGCCGCAUGUCAAGCGUGCGGGGAAAUGUCCGGGCUCAACCCGGGCCUUGCAGCGCGAACGGGCGUGCUUGAUUCCGCGGCACGCAGGCGGACUUCGUCGUGUAGCGGUGAACUGCUUAGAUCUGAC